CUCUAUCCUUCCUUUAUUCAAUCUCUCUAUCCCUUCUUUAUUCAAUAGCCCUCCUUUAUUCAAUUUCUCAGUCUCUCUAUCUUUCUUUAUUCCUUCUCUCAUCCACCUCUACUCUUUUUUUUCUUCCUUCUCUAUCUCUCUUUUCUUCCUUAUCUCUAUUCCUCUCUUCUUUUUCCUGCUUCUCUCUAUACCUCUGUCCUCCUUCCUUCUUCUAUCU
Pelobates cultripes (western spadefoot toad) is the source of this 217-nucleotide non-coding RNA. Lineage: Eukaryota; Metazoa; Chordata; Amphibia; Anura; Pelobatidae. The record is from the annotation of a GenBank genome assembly.